CGACAGCCCAUUGGUCCGACAACCCAUUAGUCCAACAACCCAAUAGUCCGACAAUCCAUUGCUCUGACAGCCCAAUACUCGAACAACCCAUAAGUCCAACACUUAUCAAGUCAAGCAUAAGGGUAACAGGAUAAAAAAAAAUUGUCUGUCUGUAUUAUUACGUUUAGAUAUAAUAACAUGUUUUUAAAGAAAUAACUCUGUAUAUAUAACAUAAGGCUUAGGUAGUUCGAAUACUUUCUAUACAUGUACUCAAUUCGAAAUCUGUAUAUAGAAUAAAACAGAACAGAAUAUUUCAUUUUUCCAAAUUAAAGGGUCUAUGAAGAGC
RNAcentral lists this long non-coding RNA (325 nucleotides) under Mytilus galloprovincialis (Mediterranean mussel). Lineage: Eukaryota; Metazoa; Mollusca; Bivalvia; Mytilida; Mytilidae. The record is from RNAcentral.